GUGGGUUCGCGGCCGCCGGCCCAGUGAGGCUGGGUUCGAGGAGCUGGAGCGGGAAACUGGAGCUUAAAUUCUGGCGGCGAGAUGGACAUUCUGAAAUCAGAGAUCCUUCGGAAGCGGCAGCUGGUGGAGGACAGGAACCUGCUGAGAGAAUACGUGAAGGCAAAUGAUGCUUAUCUUCAGAUGGCCAUUGGAAAUGCGCCUUGGCCCAUCGGUGUCACUAUGUGAAGUUGACACAAAAUUAACCAUCACAGCUGCCUUCCUGUGGGCCUCAUGUUAUAUGAGAACAGUAUUGGGUGUACACUUAAAGCGUUCUGGGAAUAUGAAUCCCUUCUGCACCCUGGAAUCACCAGUCCAGCCAUGCAUGGAGCUGGGGAAAGCAGGCCCUGAAUUGUCUAGAGAGACUUGGUGGAGGAGGCCACGGCCCGCCUUGUCCCUGCCGGGUCCCGGCCAGGUGUGUGUGUGCCCCAGCUCGACUCUCGGUGGUCUCCAGGCUGCAGCAGAAGGAAUACCUUGGGCCCUGUGCUAAUCACGAGUCUUUCCUGUUCGGAGCAGUGAGGCCUGAGACCCUCAACAGUGCUGUGUGUACAGAAGGCCCCCAGAAUCCACACAAAGGGGCCGCCUGAAACCUAGAGCAUUUGUGAAGGAGGAAAAUGGAAGGAACAACUGGAUGUUGUAAAUGUUUCUCAUCUGGCCUUAAAAUCCAUGAAAGCUGGAAAAUCACAAGGCAUCUGUGCAUAUACUGGUGGAUUUUAAUGAGAGUCCUGUGUUUGGAGCACCAGAAAUAAACCAGCUUCAGAAGCAAAGAUCUGAACGUCUAUGACACUCUUUCGAGCUGACACAGUGAAGAACAUAGAAGGAGAACUCACCCAGUCUGCCAGGGUCACAGAAUGAUCAUACUCAAGAUCUUCCUGGGGAGUCAAUGGCAAAUUUCACUGGGCUAUUUUACAGAUGAAGAAGGAACAUAAAGAAGGUUCUGGGACCCCGAAGUCCACGGAACACCCACCAUUACCUGAUCUUUGGAGCUUGUCAUUUGGCCAGUGGACCCUAAUAAACGUCCACGGGGAUGUGGGGAUAGAAUGCCAGAGCCUGGCUCGCUAGGGCAUCCAGGUUCUUCCUUCCUCUUUGCCCUGCUGUCUCCAGGCACCAAGAAUCUCCUACAGUUCCCCAAAGAUGAACCCCCCAUUAUCUCAGGUCACUCUGUUUCCCCCGAUCUUUACCAAAUUCCUGACUCAGAGUUCCUCCCAUUUGCUUCUGACUCUCAUUUUAUUCUUACCUCUCAUUUUAUUCUUAUGAUGUUUACCAUUUCUCUUCUCCUCAGUGUCCCUCUCUGAGUGGUAAGAGUAUGUUAAUAAGCCAGUGCUGAGACCGGAGCACGAGGCAACUGCUCAAUGUUGGUCAUUGUCACUGUUAUUAAAUGUAACUUAAGGGAA
RNAcentral lists this long non-coding RNA (1430 nucleotides) under Homo sapiens (human). RNAcentral describes it as "long non-coding RNA NONHSAT155136.1". Lineage: Eukaryota; Metazoa; Chordata; Mammalia; Primates; Hominidae. The record is from RNAcentral.